AUAGCGUAUAUUAAAGUUGUUGCAGUUAAAAAGCUCGUAGUUGAACCUUGGACCUGGCCGACUGGUCUGCCUCACCGCAUGCACUGGUUUGGCUGGGUCUUUCCUUCUGGCAAGCCGCAUGCUCUUCACUGGGUGUGUUGGGGAACCAGGACUUUUACUUUGAAAAAAUUAGAGUGUUCAAAGCAGGCAUUGGCUCGAAUACAUUAGCAUGGAAUAAUAGAAUAGGACGUGUGGUUCUAUUUUGUUGGUUUCUAGGACCACCGUAAUGAUUAAUAGGGAUAGUCGGGGGCAUCAGUAUUCAAUCGUCAGAGGUGAAAUUCUUGGAUCGAUUGAAGACUAACUACUG
Molecule: ribosomal RNA, 346 nt
Filed under: uncultured eukaryote
Lineage: Eukaryota
Description: SSU rRNA
Rfam family: Eukaryotic small subunit ribosomal RNA
Source: RNAcentral